This 493-nucleotide ribosomal RNA is filed under the name uncultured bacterium. RNAcentral's name for it is "partial 16S ribosomal RNA". It matches the Rfam family "Bacterial small subunit ribosomal RNA", at positions 30 to 523 of the family's 1533-position model. The record is from RNAcentral.
AUUGAACGCUGGCGGCAUGCUUUACACAUGCAAGUCGAACGGUAACAGGUUAAGCUGACGAGUGGCGAACGGGUGAGUAAUGCAUCGGAACGUGCCCGGUCGUGGGGGAUAACGCAGCGAAAGCUGCGCUAAUACCGCAUACGAUCUGAGGAUGAAAACGGGGGACCGUAAGGCCUCGCGCGAUCGGAGCGGCCGAUGUCAGAUUAGGUAGUUGGUGGGGUAAAGGCUCACCAAGUCAACGAUCUGUAGCUGGUCUGAGAGGACGACCAGCCACACUGGGACUGAGACACGGCCCAGACUCCUACGGGAGGCAGCAGUGGGGAAUUUUGGACAAUGGGCGAAAGCCUGAUCCAGCAAUGCCGCGUGCAGGAAGAAGGCCUUCGGGUUGUAAACUGCUUUUGUACGGAGCGAAAAGGUCUCCUCUAAUACAGGGGGCUCAUGACGGUACCGUAAGAAUAAGCACCGGCUAACUACGUGCCAGCCGCCGCCGUAA